This 497-nucleotide ribosomal RNA is filed under the name uncultured bacterium. Its description in RNAcentral is "partial 16S ribosomal RNA". It matches the Rfam family "Bacterial small subunit ribosomal RNA", at positions 28 to 507 of the family's 1533-position model. The record is from RNAcentral.
GAUGAACGCUGGCGGCGUGCCUAAUACAUGCAAGUCGAGCGAACGGACGAGAAGCUUGCUUCUCUGAUGUUAGCGGCGGACGGGUGAGUAACACGUGGAUAACCUACCUAUAAGACUGGGAUAACUUCGGGAAACCGUAGCUAAUACCGGAUAAUAUUUUGAACCGCAUGGUUCAAAAGUGAAAGACGGUCUUGCUGUCACUUAUAGAUGGAUCCGCGCUGCAUUAGCUAGUUGGUAAGGUAACGGCUUACCAAGGCAACGAUGCAUAGCCGACCUGAGAGGGUGAUAGGCCACACUGGAACUGAGACACGGUCCAGACGCCUACGGGAGGCAGCAGUAGGGAAUCUUCCGCAAUGGGCGAAAGCCUGACGGAGCAACGCCGCGUGAGUGAUGAAGGUCUUCGGAUCGUAAAACUCUGUUAUUAGGGAAGAACAUAUGUGUAAGUAACUGUGCACAUCUUGACGGUACCUAAUCAGAAAGCCACGGCUAACUACGUG